Molecule: microRNA precursor, 75 nt
Filed under: Myotis davidii
Lineage: Eukaryota; Metazoa; Chordata; Mammalia; Chiroptera; Vespertilionidae
Description: mir-9229 microRNA precursor family
Rfam family: mir-9229 microRNA precursor family
Source: Rfam by way of RNAcentral
GAGACACCUUGUGGGGCAGGACUUGCAUCAGUGGGUCUUUGGUGCUCACUGAGUCUGCCCCUUGAAUGUGUCUCU